RNAcentral lists this transfer RNA (73 nucleotides) under Parcubacteria group bacterium CG_4_10_14_0_2_um_filter_7_35_8. RNAcentral describes it as "tRNA-Thr". It matches the Rfam family "tRNA". From Rfam's summary of the family: Transfer RNA (tRNA) molecules are approximately 80 nucleotides in length. Their secondary structure includes four short double-helical elements and three loops (D, anti-codon, and T loops). Further hydrogen bonds mediate the characteristic L-shaped molecular structure. tRNAs have two regions of fundamental functional importance: the anti-codon, which is responsible for specific mRNA codon recognition, and the 3' end, to which the tRNAs corresponding amino acid is attached (by aminoacyl-tRNA synthetases). tRNAs cope with the degeneracy of the genetic code in two manners: having more than one tRNA (with a specific anti-codon) for a particular amino acid; and 'wobble' base-pairing, i.e. permitting non-standard base-pairing at the 3rd anti-codon position. RNAcentral also lists the same sequence under 2 other names. The record is from RNAcentral.
GCCUGAGUAGCUCAGCUGGUAGAGCACCAGUUUUGUAAACUGGUUGUCGUCGGUUCGAUCCCGACCUCAGGCU